AUUGAACGCUGGCGGCAUGCUUUACACAUGCAAGUCGAACGGUAACAGGGUGCUUGCACCGCUGACGAGUGGCGAACGGGUGAGUAAUGCGUCGGAACGUGCCGAGUAGUGGGGGAUAACGCAGCGAAAGUUGUGCUAAUACCGCAUACGUACUGAGGUAGAAAGGGGGGGACCUUCGGUCCUCACGCGAUUCGAGCGGCCGACGUCUGAUUAGCGUAGUAGGUGAGGUAAAGGCUCACCUAGGCGACGAUCAGUAGUGGGUCUGAGAGGAUGUGUCGGCACCGUGGCAACGAGACACGGCACAGACUCCUACGGGAGGCAGCAGUCGGGAAUUUUGGAAAAGGGGCGAAAGCCUGAUCCUGCCAUGCCGCGUGUCUGAAGAAGGCCGUCGGGUUGUAAAGGACUUUUGUCAGGGAGGAAAUCCCUAGUGGUAAUAACCCUGGGGGAUGACAGUACCUGAAGAAUAAGCACCGGCUAACUACGUGCCAGCCGCCGCCGUAA
RNAcentral lists this ribosomal RNA (501 nucleotides) under uncultured bacterium. Its description in RNAcentral is "partial 16S ribosomal RNA". It matches the Rfam family "Bacterial small subunit ribosomal RNA", at positions 30 to 523 of the family's 1533-position model. The record is from RNAcentral.